This is a long non-coding RNA of Anolis carolinensis (green anole), 1803 nucleotides long. RefSeq lists it as uncharacterized. Lineage: Eukaryota; Metazoa; Chordata; Lepidosauria; Squamata; Anolidae. The record is from RefSeq and is a predicted model, not a curated record. The transcript is spliced from 3 exons.
CCUGUGGAGUAACUCAGAUGUGGAGGGAGAGUAUAGAAUGGAGGAAUGAGUUGCUGUGUUCGGCGUAGCUGGUGCUGUUUGGAUUGUUUAUAGUUUGAGAAGUCCACAAUAGAAGAAAGAAGAUAGAAGAAAGAAGAAAAGCCUUGGAUUGAGGAAAUGCGAAUGAUUUUUCUCAGUCCUAGCAAAUGAGGAAGCCAUCGUCUCUUCAUAAAUAAGAUUCAGAGCUCUAAAUGAGGUCAUUCUCUGUGCAAUCUUCCUUUACACAACAAUCAAACCAAGCCAAGGUUCCAGAAAAGCAGGGGAAGACUUCUGGAUGGAGAUAUUACUCUGGAUGGAUCCAUAAAGAGCUCAGAUUGAGGACUCGUGAACAAGGCUUCAUGUUGCUUCAGCAAUAGACAACCCCUAAAGUGCAAAUGGAGCUGCAUCCUCUUAAAAAACAAGAAAAUAAAUCAAGACUUCAGUCUGACUCCUGCAGCAGAAUACUUAUGUAUCAGCAUCAGUUACUCAGAAUGCAGUGUAUGCCAAGAGAUCAUAACCUGAGCAAAAUGCAUUAUAAUGUAAAGUUCAGACUGGGUCCAGGGAUGUGGUGGGUAUGCCUAUUACUAACUUUUCAGUGGUGGUUUUGCCUGCUGGCACGCAUAAUGAUCUAUAAAUAUUAUUGUUUCCUCCAGAAUCUCAGUGGCUAGUCCUUUGUUGAAAUGAUCCUCUGUGCCCACUAACCUAUGAACAUGAUGAACCCAGUUGAACAAAGCUAAUUAAUUUGCAAGCUAAUGGUGAAGCGAGAUCUAUAUUUUAUUGGGGAAACAGUGUGAGGGAAUUAUUGGCAGCUGAGGUUAAAGCAAUUCUAAUCCUAAAUGCCAUAUCUUCUCUGCUUCAGAUCUGACAACAUUUCCCCUAAUUUUAUUUUCUGCUAUAUUAUAGGAAACAACACUGAAAAUACAUAAAAUAUGAUUAAGGCUUCCACGGUACUCUUCUGUGCAUGCUGCACAACAUUCCUCUUCAUCCUACCUGCUCCCCCCCCCCCCCGAAAUGUAUUGUGAUGAAUUGUGUUCAUUGGGUUGAAUUUAUGUUUUUAUGUCACUGCAGUAGGUGAUAGAUUUGAUAGGGAUGGAAACAAUAUCCUCUACUCAUUUUCUGAGCAAGAAAUGGUUUUGCCAAUGGUUCAUAAUCAUAAGGCAUAACAGUAUAAUGAGACUUCUGUUUGGUUUGUCUAUAUACAAAUGUUCCAAAAUGUUUUGGAGGAUUUUUCCUCCAAAUUAUUUUGGGACAUUUGUAUAAGAUGUCCUAAACAAAAUGAAAGAAGAAAUGUCUUUAAAUUAUCUGGACACAUAUGUGUGUGCAUGUGCGCGCGGUUAAAAUCCUUUGGGAAGCUUUUUGGACACUUGAAUAUGGUAAGAAAAGUGUUUUCUCCUGCACCAGGAAAAAAGCUAUAUAAAUUAUUUCCCCUGGCCUGUGAAAAUUGCAGGCAUUGAUGGUGACUGAGAUGAUCAAAGGUCUCCAAACCAAGCCUUAUGAGGAACGACUUAGAAAGCUGAGAUAAAAAAUUAUAAUAAGAACGUGAGACUAACUGGGCUUUAUUUUGAAACAUGCUUAUAUGGGUAUAAACCCUCUUCAUCAGAUGUAGUACAGAGUAGUAUCCGCUAUCCAGCCCUCAGGAUAUAAAGCAUCUUCACACAUAUUACAAAAUAUAGCUUAUAUCCUGGGACUAAUGUUCUUCUCUAAGGAAGCAGUGAAUGAUUGUAGCAAUUGUCUUUCUUCUGUGAUAAAGUAAUCAAAAACUGCAAUUUUAGAACACUUUUUUCA